This 1030-nucleotide ribosomal RNA is filed under the name uncultured archaeon. RNAcentral describes it as "bacterial SSU rRNA". It matches the Rfam family "Archaeal small subunit ribosomal RNA", at positions 474 to 1337 of the family's 1478-position model. The record is from RNAcentral.
UACAGCCAGUACGAGUGGUGUCCACGAAUAUUGAGUCUAAAGCGUGUGUAUCCGGUUUGAAUAGUUUCCUGUGAAAUCUUUGCUUUUAACGCAGAGGCGUGCAGGGAAUACUUUCAAGCUAGAGAGUGGGGGAGGUGUGGGGUACGUAAGGGGGAACGGUUAAAUGUUUUAAUCCUUUACGGACCACCAGUGGCGAAGGCGUCACACCAAAACACGUCUGACGGUGAGACACGAAGGCUAGGGGAGCAAACCGGAUUAGAUACCCGGGUAGUCCUAGCAGUAAAUCAUGCAGAUUUGGCGUUGCACUCGCUUUGAGCGGGUGCAGUGUCGUAGGGAAGCUGUUUAAUCUGCCACUUGGGGAGUACGAUUGCAAGAUUGAAACUUAAAGGAAUUGGCGGGAGAGCACCACAAGGGGUGGAUGCUGCGGUUCAAUUGGAGUCAACGCCGGGAAACUUACCAGGAAAGACAGCAGAAUGAAGUUCGAGCUGAAGACUUUAGCUGACAAGCUGAGAAGUGCUGCAUGGCCAGCGUCAGCUCGUGCCGUGAGGUGUCAGGUUAAGUCCUGCAACGAGCGAGAUCCUUGUCUACAGUUGCAAUCUUUAUCGCGAGAUGAAGAGCACUCUGUAGAGACUGCCCGCGUUAAGUGGGAGGAAGGAAAGGGCGACGCUAGGUCAGUAUGGCCUGAAUUUCCUGGGCCACACGUGGCAUACAAUGGUCAAGACAACGAGUUCCGACGCCGAAAGGUGAAGGUAAUCUCUAAAACUUGGCCCAAGUUCGAAUUGAGGGCUGAAACUCGUCCUCAUGAAGCUGGAAUCCCUAGUAAUCGCGUGUCAUCAAUCUCAACCGCAACUCAGCGAAAAAUUUUAAUAUACUAACCGUUAAUAAACGGCAAUUUAACUAAGACAGAAGAGCUUAUUCUGUCUCAGGAAUUUGAUAAAUUAGUUUAUAAUUCGCCUUUAGACAAAUCAUUGUUUUCGUAAAUGGGUUGUUGUUGGAAGUGAAUUCGCGCGGUGAAUAUGUCCCUGCUCUU